RNAcentral lists this ribosomal RNA (346 nucleotides) under uncultured Bacillota bacterium. RNAcentral's name for it is "bacterial SSU rRNA". It matches the Rfam family "Bacterial small subunit ribosomal RNA", at positions 28 to 351 of the family's 1533-position model. Lineage: Bacteria; Bacillati; Bacillota. The record is from RNAcentral.
GACGAACGCUGGCGGCGUGCCUAAUACAUGCAAGUCGAACGCUUUUUCAAUCAUCGUAGCUUGCUACAUCGAUUGAAAAUUGAGUGGCGAACGGGUGAGUAACACGUGGGUAACCUGCCCAAAAGAGGGGGAUAACACUUGGAAACAGGUGCUAAUACCGCAUAACCAUGAUGACCGCAUGGUCAUUAUGUAAAAGAUGGUUUCGGCUAUCACUUUUGGAUGGACCCGCGGCGUAUUAACUUGUUGGUAGGGUAACGGCCUACCAAGGUAAUGAUACGUAGCCGAACUGAGAGGUUGAUCGGCCACAUUGGGACUGAGACACGGCCCAAACUCCUACGGGAGGCAG